Molecule: ribosomal RNA, 377 nt
Filed under: uncultured bacterium
Lineage: Bacteria
Description: bacterial SSU rRNA
Rfam family: Bacterial small subunit ribosomal RNA
Source: RNAcentral
AUACGUAGGGUGCGAGCGUUAAUCGGAAUUACUGGGCGUAAAGCGUGCGCAGGCGGUUUUGUAAGUCAGAUGUGAAAUCCCCGAGCUCAACUUGGGAACUGCGUUUGAAACUACAAGGCUAGAGUAUGGUAGAGGGGGGUAGAAUUCCACGUGUAGCAGUGAAAUGCGUAGAGAUGUGGAGGAAUACCAAUGGCGAAGGCAGCCCCCUGGACUAAUACUGACGCUCAUGCACGAAAGCGUGGGGAGCAAACAGGAUUAGAUACCCUGGUAGUCCACGCCCUAAACGAUGUCUACUAGUUGUUGGGAGAGUAAAAUCUCUUAGUAACGCAGCUAACGCGUGAAGUAGACCGCCUGGGGAGUACGGUCGCAAGAUUAAA